RNAcentral lists this ribosomal RNA (253 nucleotides) under uncultured bacterium. RNAcentral's name for it is "partial 16S ribosomal RNA". It matches the Rfam family "Bacterial small subunit ribosomal RNA", at positions 524 to 776 of the family's 1533-position model. The record is from RNAcentral.
UACGUAGGUGGCGAGCGUUGUCCGGAUUUACUGGGCGUAAAGCGUGCGCAGGCGGUUUGUUAAGUCUGAUGUGAAAGCCCCGGGCUCAACCUGGGAACUGCAUUGGAAACUGGCAAGCUCGAGUAUGGCAGAGGGGGGUGGAAUUCCGCGUGUAGCAGUGAAAUGCGUAGAGAUGCGGAGGAACACCGAUGGCGAAGGCAGCCCCCUGGGCCAAUACUGACGCUCAGGCACGAAAGCGUGGGGAGCAAACAGG